Molecule: long non-coding RNA, 1600 nt
Organism: Macaca fascicularis (crab-eating macaque)
Lineage: Eukaryota; Metazoa; Chordata; Mammalia; Primates; Cercopithecidae
Source: Ensembl
ACCUUUGUGAGAUUAGAAAACUUGUACCUUCCUCUGGGCAGCCGCAGCCCUGAGCCAGGGCAUGUGGCCUGGCUAGUGCAGUGUGGACUGAAUUUUAGGCUCAUUUGCCCCCUCAGCCAACUGCCCUUGAGGAGUGUACAGCCUGCUCAACAACCGCCCUGGGCAGGCCGCUCCUGAGCUGCUGUCUCCCUCUCUGACCUAUGCCUACUUUCUCUUUCCUCGUUCCCUGCCCAAUGGGCAUGGCAGCUGGGGGUGAGAGGCUGGUGGAUGCCUCCUGUCCUGGGCAGGCUGCAGCCUCAUGCCAUGUCUCUCUCCCACUGCCCGAUGGGCACAUGGACAGGCUGCAGAGGGCUCCAGGUUCUGGGCCCCUGGCUGAGAAGGGGAGGACCCUGUCCUGGCUGUAGCCUUCCUGCCCCAAUCAUCUCGCUGGAUGCCGCUGCCCAGGGGUACCCUUUUCCUCAGUUUAAUUAAUUUAUUUAUUUGGUUUGUGGUUUGGGUUUUUUUUUUUUUUUUUUUUUGGUUUGUAGGUGAGUUCCCAUCCUCUGGGCCCCUAGAAAUACUGCCCUUGUAUAUGGGGUACCUGGGAAAGGGUGCGGCUGAGGCAGUCAUCACUCAGUAUCUUCCCCCGACUCCAGCCACAAAGCUCAUACCCAGCCCUGCCAAUCAUGAAUUGGAACUCCAUAAGGAGGAGCUAAAUUGGGAGGCCUUUUGGCAAACAGUGUCCAUUUUACAGAGAGGCAAACCGAUCCUCCUUAGUGCCGUGGGGCUGGUGGUCACCCAGAGCCACAGAGCACCCUUCCUCCUGGGCCAGAGCUGGGUGAUCAUGGUUGACUCAGGUACGUCAGGUGGCCCAGGAGGUCCCCCGUUCAUAAGGACAUCAAACUUCCAGGAGGGCUAGUGUUCCCAGUGUGGGCCAGGAACAGGACAGGGGGACCUUGCGAUGGCAGGACAGGGAGCCUGUUCGUAGGGAAGAUGAGGCAGGGGCUGCCUCUCACACCUCCAGGUUCUCAUUCUAAGUUCUGGGGAGGGAGCGCCCCACCUGCUGAGGUUGGUCCUCUCAGCCCUGCCUGCCCUGGCCUGGGCUCUCCCAGCCUCCCAGCCCUGUGCCCCCUCAGAUGGCUUUUUGUUUUUGUUUUUUUGCAUCCAUCAGAGACUGCUCCUCUGUGUGGCAGGCAGGGCAUGGGUUUUAGUCCUGGCCACUAACCAGCUGUGUGUCCCUGGCUGAGUCAUAGCCCCCUGGAGCCCCGGCUUCUACUUCUGCAAAAUGGUGGUUUGGGGAGAGAGGGGCAGGCUUUCUGUGUGACUGUCGGGAGUUCUUCCGUGAGGGCUGCCAUGGGGCGGUGUGCCAGGACCUGAGGCUGGGCCUUUGUGGAAGUCACCGUCCCACUAUGGGUCUCCACUACCCAGUCACUGACCAUGGGAGACCCCUUUUGUGGGAGGGAGCGGGGGCUGGCUAGCGGGCCCCCCAGCCAGGGAUCCCAGAGGCUGAGGGUUGGGGAGAGGAAGCCAUCAUCUCAUUACCUCUGUCAGUGCAGGGGUGGCUGCUGCUUCCCUUGUGCACUCGGGUCGCUGUGAUUGUGAAUAAAGGUGAUUUCGUACC